Molecule: ribosomal RNA, 489 nt
Filed under: Treponema sp. oral taxon A31
Lineage: Bacteria; Pseudomonadati; Spirochaetota; Spirochaetia; Treponematales; Treponemataceae
Description: bacterial SSU rRNA
Rfam family: Bacterial small subunit ribosomal RNA
Source: RNAcentral
AACGAACGCUGGCGGCGCGUCUUAAGCAUGCAAGUCGAACGGCAAGAGAAGAGCUUGCUCUUCUCCUAGAGUGGCGGACUGGUGAGUAACACGUGGGUGAUCUACCCUUGAGAUGGGGAUAGCCGUUAGAAAUAGCGGGUAAUACCGAAUACCCUCACGUUCAUAAAGGGAUGUGAGGAAAGGAAGCUACGGCUUCGCUCGAGGAUGAGCCUGCGUCCCAUUAGCUAGUUGGUGAGGUAAAGGCCCACCAAGGCGACGAUGGGUAUCCGGCCUGAGAGGGUGAUCGGACACAUUGGGACUGAGAUACGGCCCAAACUCCUACGGGAGGCAGCAGCUAAGAAUAUUCCGCAAUGGACGGAAGUCUGACGGAGCGACGCCGCGUGGAUGAAGAAGGCUGAAAAGUUGUAAAAUCCUUUUGCUGAUGAAGAAUAAGGGUAGGAGGGAAUGCCUAUCUGAUGACGGUAAUCGGCGAAUAAGCCCCGCUAAUUA